AGCUUCCUCUCUCUUUCCCUCAAUCCUCUCCCUUCUCUCUACACUCUUUCACCGUCGGCGACGGCGCCGCCGCCGUCGCUCCUCAUCCUCCUUCCUUUUUUCUUCUUCUUCUCUGCCUCCGCCUCCGGCGGCGUCCCCUCACUUUUUUCCUUUCCUUCUUUUCUCUCUUCUUCUUCUUCCUCUCCGCCUCCGGCGACGCCGCCCCUAUUUUUCUUCUAUUUUUUCUCCGGCGACGGCGGUAGAGCCGCCGCCGCCUCCAUCUCCUUCUCUUUUACUUCCUCGCCGACGGCGACGGUCGCCGCCGCCUCCGCCUCCUCUCUUCUCCCACAACGAAAAAGGAAGGAAAAAAAAAGGAAGAAAAG
Molecule: long non-coding RNA, 362 nt
Filed under: Linum usitatissimum (flax)
Lineage: Eukaryota; Viridiplantae; Streptophyta; Magnoliopsida; Malpighiales; Linaceae
Description: long non-coding RNA (LUSI_LNC002375)
Source: RNAcentral